UGGGGAAUUUUGCACAAUGGGGGAAACCCUGAUGCAGCGACGCCGCGUGAUUUAGAAGGCCUUCGGGUUGUAAAAAUCUUUUCUAUGGGAAGAAAAUGACAGUACCAUAGGAAUAAGGACCGGCUAAUUACGUGCCAGCAGCCGCGGUAAUACGUAAGGUCCGAGCGUUGUCCGGAAUCAUUGGGCGUAAAGGGUACGUAGGCGGGUAAGCAAGUUAGAAGUGAAAUCCUAUAGCUCAACUAUAGUAAGCUUUUAAAACUGCUCAUCUUGAGGUAUGGAAGGGAAAGUGGAAUUCCUAGUGUAGCGGUGAAAUGUGCAGAUAUUAGGAGGAAUACCGGUGGCGAAGGCGACUUUCUGGCCAUAACCUGACGCUGAGGUACGAAAGCGUGGGUAGCAAACAGG
This 402-nucleotide ribosomal RNA is filed under the name bacterium. RNAcentral describes it as "partial 16S ribosomal RNA". It matches the Rfam family "Bacterial small subunit ribosomal RNA", at positions 355 to 776 of the family's 1533-position model. The record is from RNAcentral.